UGAGAAUAGAGGGAUAAGGAUAGAGAGAAAGAGGUGGGAAUAGAGGGAUAAGGAUAGAGAGACAGAGGUGUGAGAAUAGAGGGAUAAGGAUAGAGAGAAAGAGGUGUGAGAAUAGAGGGAUAAGGAUAGAGAGAAAGAGGUGAGAAUAGAGGGAUAAGGAUAGAGAGAAAGAGGUGUGUGAAUAGAGGGAUAAGGAUAGAGAGAAAGAGGUGUGUGAAUAGAGGGAUAAGGAUAGAGAGAAAGAGGUGUGAAUAGAGGGAUAAGGAUAGAGAGAAAGAGGUGUGAAUAGAGG
Oncorhynchus keta (chum salmon) is the source of this 292-nucleotide long non-coding RNA. RefSeq lists it as uncharacterized. The record is from RefSeq and is a predicted model, not a curated record. The transcript is spliced from 3 exons. NCBI's taxonomy places the organism in Eukaryota, Metazoa, Chordata, Actinopteri, Salmoniformes, Salmonidae.